Molecule: RNA transcript, 4911 nt
Organism: Helianthus annuus (common sunflower)
Lineage: Eukaryota; Viridiplantae; Streptophyta; Magnoliopsida; Asterales; Asteraceae
Gene name: wall-associated receptor kinase 4
Exons: 18
Source: RefSeq, a predicted model, not a curated record
UUAAAAACAUACGUACCCACUUACAUUUUCUUCUAUAAUCUAUCUUCUUUAUAAAUAUGAAGCUGUUUCAAGCUUACCUGCUUUUACUCCUUUUCAUUUCGCUAACAACACCACCUGCACUUGCAAAGCAUGCCAAACCAGGGUGUAUUGAUAUGUGCGGGAAUGUGAUCAUUCCAUACCCUUUUGGAAUUGGCACCGGUUGUUCUAUCAAUCCAUGGUACAUGGUUGAUUGCAAAAACUCAACGCCAUAUCUAUCUGUACUCAAGCAACUCGAAGUCUUGCAGGUAGACUUGGAAUAUCAAACGGUCACUGUUAAUACACCGACGAUGAUCUCCUAUUGCCAAAAUCCAGUUAGGAAUAGCAGUCACACGAUGAGCAUCGAUCUUGGUGGGAGCCCCUUCUGGUUUUCCAAAUCACACAAUAAGUUUGUUUUUGAGGGGUAUGGUGUUGCUGUUAUGAUGAUGGAUGGUGGGAGUAUGGUCACAGGGUGUUCAACGGCUUCUUUGAAUGUUUCAGAUAGCGAUAGAAAAAAAUGUUUUGGUAACGGUUGUUGCCAAACUGCAAUUCCUCAUUAUCUCAAGUCAUACAGCAUUAACAUCACCAGCUUGGAAGAAGAAGAAGGAGGUUGUGGGUCUGCCUUCUUGGUUGAUAAAACUUCAUAUGACCAAGGAAGGCUUUCUGACUCACUUAUUGUCCGGAGGAGUGCCUCUUUUAUUCCUAUAUCACUUUUGUGGACGCUAACAGAUUCCGAUCAAGUAACUUGUUGUAAUUCCGACGACACAGAGAGUAGCGAAAGACGCGAAAGACGCCAAGUGGAUAUGUUUAAUGGUAAUCCAGUAUAUACUUGGAGAUGUAACAGCUACUAUGAACGGUCACUCAACCCUUAUUUAAUAGAUGGGUGCAAGAAAGAGUAUGUAGCAAAUCCAAAUUAUGCCAAGCCAGGGUGCAAGCAGAUGUGCGGGAACAUAAGGAUUCCAUACCCUUUUGGAAUCGGUGCGAACUGUUCCAUCAACCCAUGGUACAUCAUUGAUUGCAACUCCUCCAAGCCACAUCUACGCGCACUCAACCACCUCGAAGUCUUGGGUGUCAAUCUGGAAAGUCAAAUACUCAAUGUCAGUAUGCAAAAGAUCUCUUAUUGCCAAAACACAGGUGAGAUUAGAGGCCUCGAUCUUAGAAGUAGCCCAUUCUGGUUUUCCGAAUUACACAAUAAAUUUGUUUUUGAGGGAUGUGGUACUGCUGCUAUGCAUAUAUAUGGAUAAUGGGAGUGUGCUCACAGCAUGCUCAACGACUUGUCGCAGUGUUACACAUAGUGAUAGAAACACUUGCUUUGGAAGCGGUUGUUGCCAAACCCCAAUUCCUAAUUCUCUCAAGUCGUUCAGCAUCAACAUCACUGGCUUGGAUGGGGGAGAUGGUGCUUGUAGGUCUGCCUUCUUGGUAGAGGAUGAAACUUUGUAUGAAAAAGCAAUGUUUUCUGACCCACUUUUUUUCAAGAAUAGCUCUGUUAUUCCGAUAGCACUUAAGUGGACUCUUACAGCCUCCGAUCAAGUAACUUGUUGUUACAACCAGCCUCCACAAAGAGAUAUAAUGGAUAUGAUUAAUGGUUCUACAAUGGAAGCUUGGCGAUGCUAUGAUCAGUGGUCAUCAGAUGGAAACCCUUAUUUAAUAGAUGGUUGCUUUGGGGGUCAAGGAGAUCAUGCGGAAGAGUGCAAAAGGUGCGAAGAUAGCGGAGGUUACUGUCAGCGUGCCAGGAUGUAUGACAUUGAUGGUUCAGAAGUCAGUCAGACAUUCACUUGUCAUCACUAUAAUAAAACUUCCCUGGGUCUAAUACUAGUGGAGAUUUAAGGAAUUUGGGGGGUUUGAGAAGCUAGGGUUUGUGGUUUGGUACGAUUAUUCUUCAUAUAUUGAUUUUUUGGAAAAUCUUGAUGAAUGGGAAGAUUGGUAAAGACUGUUAAUGUGGUGUUUUCGGUUGUGAAGCGAAUCGAUUAAUCGUCUUAAUCAUAUUCCGGUGUAGGUUCGAGUGCUUAUUGAUGUGAGUUUUAUUGAUGAUUUUAUAAUUGUUUUAGGUCAUUUUGAAAUCAUUUGGUUAACCUACAGUUUUUGGUUUAUUUUUAAUUUUUCAUCUUUUAUAUGUUCUUCAUACCGUUUGGAUUUUGUUUGAAGAUUAUUUGUGUGUUUGGAAUGGACGUGAUGAAAUCUUCCAGUUCCGAUUCGGAGGUUUUACAGAGAAAAAGUUGUUCUUUUUAUUAAACCCUUUUGGCUACUCAGAUUUCAGUUGCUAGCGAUGUUUUUUAUUCUUUCAUUUGAAUCAUAUCACCACCACCAUUAAUAUCUGGUACUUCCGGCUGAAUGUUUGUAAAUCUACACAUUCUAGGAAGAAUGAUGAUGAUGGAAUUGAUGAGAAAAAGAUUAUGAAUUGCAAAAGGGUUUUGAAUAAGAAAAGAAAGUAUGCACAGUUUCAUCUGGAUUUGGGUCAGUCUGAUUUUAUGUUUAGAAAUUGUAAGAGUUGUGGGAUGAAGUUUGUGCCUGGAGAUGAAGAUGAUGGGAGGCUGCAUAAAGAGUUUCAUAAGAGUUAUACUCAUGGUAUUGGCUUGAAGGGCUGGCGUAAUGAAAGCGUGCUUGAUACACACUCGUCACAAAAUGGGCGUGUUAUUUUAGUACAGAAUGAUGUUCCUCCUGCUCAUAUUAAAAAGGUUGAGGAGGUUAUUAAGAUGAUGGAGAUGGAACUUGGUGAUGGAUGGAUCUUUCAUAAAGACUGUAAGGUUUAUCUUUAUUAAAAACUAUAUUUGCCAUCUACAACAAGAAAGCCGAGUUGUAUGAAAAGCUGGCAAGGGGAGAAGUAUCUGAUGAGGAAGAUAAGGAGAAAUAUUGUAUUGAUUUUUUCAGUAAGCCUAUGUAAAUGACGAACCACAAAGAUAUAGCCCAUUCUCAAUUGUUGUUCACCCUGAAGAUAAGGUACUUUUACCAUCCAACAUCCCUCUCGGUUUAUGUACGAAUAUGCGUCUACCGAUCUUGAAAGCUUCAGUUCUUGGACAAACUAAUUUUCAUGCCUAUCAUGCUUUGUAAAUGGAGAAAGAGAGGGAAGAAUAUGAAGUGAUAUGCUUAUACAUGCGAAUGCUUGGGUCGGGUUUUGACCUGCUAGGCCAUAUUGUUAUGACCCUCUUCACUUCUCAUGGUGUUUGUUACAUUAUUUAUUGGAUACUCACCCAGCAGACAUCAGAGGUUGUAAAUGGGCUGGUAGUUUGUAAUCAAGUCAUAAACGGGUUGGUUUUUUUUUUUUUUCAAAAAGGAUGAACCAUGGCAAGCGUCUUGGUGCAGUUCCCACACGUUUGAACGACCUUGCAACUUUAGUUGUCGGGACACACGUACCAAAGUUUCGCAACCUUCAUCGCCAACAGAUUAUUUGAAGCCACUGAUAACAGUAACAUAGCAUCAACGACAGUGAUUUACAAAAGGUGUUGUGACCCGUUUUCAACCUGAAUCCAUAUUGGCCCGAAUGAUCCACAGUUAGUUGUUAUUGCAUAUUUCUCGAGCGAAGCUGACCUUUAAACAUAUCGGGGUUUUCGUCAGCCAAAAAACUUUAGCAUUUAGUGGUAGCGUGUGGCUACGGUUGUGCGGUGGCUGAAUCGGGUGGUGAUCGGUGGCUGAUUCAUAGCCGUGAAUGGUGACAUAUAGCUGCCAUUCUGGUCAGUUUUGGGCUGAAGCCAUGAACACAUUUCGCUUAACGGGUCGUGCCUUGACCGGCUUCAUAUCUGUUUGGGGGAGGCUAUAAACUACCAUUAUCUAAACACUCGGGUUGCAUAUUGCUAAGGAAAAUCCCAUGUUAAAAUCUGCUUGUGAGAUGAUAGAAACAACCAUUUUAUCUUUUUUUGUAGGUGUGAGCAUUCAAAAAUCGCUUGAUGAUCUCAGGCUACGCCCAUCACAGGGGCGCAAAGGAAGGGGGUGGUGAUUUUGAAAGGCCAUGGCGUCAGCGAUUUUGCACUUUAGCUUUUGUGUACGCCUCUAAUAAGCAACGAUUUCAGGUCAUAAACACCGAUGAUCAAGCAUUGGCGACUUGCCAUGUUGCUCGCCAAGUUAAAAUAUUAUCAAAACCAACAUCAAUUCUUGUCCCAACAAAGAACAUGCACCAAUUUGAGUGGGUUUAACCUGAUGAAAAAGAAACUGUGAGUCACAGAGGCUCUCGACAACAAGGGAGUGCAUUUUGGGGAUGGUAUGUGUCACUUGUGUAACAAGCGAGAGACGUCGUAUCAUCUUCUUUUCCGGUGUGCAUAUUAUAAAGGCUAUUUUCAUGAAGACGAUGUGGCGUAUUUUGCUGUGUCGGAACGAGAGAAUAUUCAGGGGCAAUAAUCCUUUGGUGCAGAUGGUUGUCGAAAUGAUGAAUAUCGGAUCGUACUGUUGGGGUGCAAAAAGAGGCAAGAAAAACGGGCUGACGCUAGAGAAGUGGAGUAAUUUUGAAGACCUGGUAGUGUGUAGGGAUGUUGACUUGGAAGAUGAACCACAGGAGGAUAUGGCGACAGCAGGAGUUUAAUGUUUGGUCAUCAUGCUCAUAGCAGUCGACAGGGCAUGUCAUAUGGUGCAGACUCUUAAAGACGUAGUGAUGGUGUCAAUAUUUACUCAUCAAGCUAUGGCGACCAUUAUCUCUCUCGUGGUGGUGAUGUUGGUGAAAGUUCUUAGUCAUCAUCAAUGUAUUCGAGUCGGAGCGUGGGCGGCAAUGGUGAAACCGAACUAAAAAUUUAUGGUGGAGAAGGGAAGGAGAAUACUUUAGAGGUUCAAACUGUUAUUUAUGUAUCUUUUAUUAUUGAAAACUAAAUUUUCCUAACCCGGGAUGUUCCCGGGUGAUAGCCUAGUAGAUAUAUAAAGGUGUUAUAUAAAUUUAGGAAGAAAAUCAUAUAAUUUAAGGUGUGAUAAAAUUCA